Molecule: non-coding RNA, 74 nt
Organism: Pteropus alecto (black flying fox)
Lineage: Eukaryota; Metazoa; Chordata; Mammalia; Chiroptera; Pteropodidae
Source: Rfam
GGCUCCAUAGUGUAGUGGUUAGCACAUCUGCUUUAUAUGCAGAAGGUCCUGGGUUUGCACCCCAGAUGGAGCCA